RNAcentral lists this transfer RNA (73 nucleotides) under Clostridiales bacterium COT073_COT-073. It matches the Rfam family "tRNA". From Rfam's summary of the family: Transfer RNA (tRNA) molecules are approximately 80 nucleotides in length. Their secondary structure includes four short double-helical elements and three loops (D, anti-codon, and T loops). Lineage: Bacteria; Bacillati; Bacillota; Clostridia; Eubacteriales. The record is from Rfam by way of RNAcentral. RNAcentral also lists the same sequence under 1 other name.
GCUUUCAUAGCACAGUUGGUAGUGCAAUGCAUUCGUAAUGCAUAGGUCGCCGGUUCGAGUCCGGCUGAAAGCU